Molecule: ribosomal RNA, 468 nt
Filed under: uncultured bacterium
Lineage: Bacteria
Description: partial 16S ribosomal RNA
Rfam family: Bacterial small subunit ribosomal RNA
Source: RNAcentral
GACGAACGCUGGCGGCGUGCUUAACACAUGCAAGUCGAACGGAAAGGCCCUGCUUGUGUGGGGUGCUCGAGGCGCGAACGGGUGAGUAACACGUGAGUAACCUGCCCUUGACUUUGGGAUAACUUCAGGAAACUGGGGCUUAUACCGUAUACGCACUCCAGUUGCAUGGAGGGGGUUGGAAAGGUUCGGCGGUCGGGGAUGGACGCGCGGCUUAUCAGCUUGUUGGUGGGGUAGUGGCUUACCAAGGCUUUGCCGGGUAGCCGGCCUGGGAGGGUAACCGGCCCCAUUGGGACUGAGAUACGGCGCAGACUCCUACGGUGCGCAGCAGUGGGGAAUGUUGCGCAAUGGGCGGACGCCUGAUGAAGCAGCGCCGCGUGCGGGAUGACGGCCUUCGGGUUGUAAACCGCUUUCGCCUGUGACGAAGCGUGAGUGACGGUAAUGGGUAAAGAAGCACCGGCUAACUACGUG